Molecule: ribosomal RNA, 467 nt
Filed under: uncultured bacterium
Lineage: Bacteria
Description: bacterial SSU rRNA
Rfam family: Bacterial small subunit ribosomal RNA
Source: RNAcentral
GCCAGACUCCUACGGGAGGCAGCAGUGAGGAAUAUUGGUCAAUGGGCGCGAGCCUGAACCAGCCAAGUCGCGUGAGGGAGGACGGCCCUACGGGUUGUAAACCUCUUUUGCCGGGGAGCAACGGGCGUCACGUGUGGCGCCACUGAGAGUACCCGGAGAAAAAGCAUCGGCUAACUCCGUGCCAGCAGCCGCGGUAAUACGGAGGAUGCGAGCGUUAUCCGGAUUUAUUGGGUUUAAAGGGUGCGUAGGCGGAUCUUAAAGUCGGGGGUAAAAUGGGGGGGCUCACCCCCUUCCCGCCAUUGAAACUGGCGCUCUUGAGUGGAAGAGAAGUAUGCGGAAUGCGUGGUGUAGCGGUGAAAUGCAUAGAUAUCACGCAGAACUCCGAUUGCGAAGGCAGCAUACCGGCGCGCAACUGACGCUCAUGCACGAAAGCGUGGGUAUCGAGCAGGAUUAGAUACCCUAGUAGU